This 380-nucleotide ribosomal RNA is filed under the name uncultured organism. RNAcentral describes it as "bacterial SSU rRNA". It matches the Rfam family "Bacterial small subunit ribosomal RNA", at positions 367 to 762 of the family's 1533-position model. The record is from RNAcentral.
CGCAAUGGGCGAAAGCCUGACGGAGCGACGCCGCGUGGUUGAUGAAGCCCUUCGGGACGUAAAAACCUUUUAUGAUUAAGAAAGUUAUUGAUCUGAUCAUGAAUAAGGGGCUCCAAACUCUGUGCCAGCAGGAGCGGUAAUACAGAGGCCCCAAGCGUUAUCCGGAAUCACUGGGCGUAAAGGGUGUGUAGGUGGUUUUGUUAGUCUCUCGUUAAAGCUCCCGACCUAAUCGGGAAAAUGCGGGAGAUACGGCAAGACUUAGAGGGUGCGAGGGGUCUGUGGAACUCAUGGAGUAGGGGUGAAAUCCGUUGAUAUCAUGGGGAACACCAAAAGCGAAGGCAGCAGACUGGCGCAUUCCUGACACUGAAACACGAAAGCGU